This is a non-coding RNA of Biomphalaria pfeifferi, 2041 nucleotides long. NCBI's taxonomy places the organism in Eukaryota, Metazoa, Mollusca, Gastropoda, Planorbidae. The record is from the annotation of a GenBank genome assembly.
UUCCAUAGAUUUUUUUUUAAUAUUGACAUUUGGCAUGGCAUUAAAAAACCAGUACAACACAAGAGACAUGUCUAACUCAACUAAGCAUAUUAAAAAAAAUGUCUGACACUAUGUCACACUUUGGUUUCAUCUCGAACUAGUGUACAUCAUAUUUAUCAUCUGAAGAUUUUGUUGAGCUUUUCCAUCAAUUUUCCAACUUCAUCAUGUAUUCUCUUCAGAGUAUUUAAGUAUAUUUUCAUUAGUUACAAGUUUUAAAAAAAUUGAACCCAUAUGCUAAUGAAAAACAAUUUAAAAGAGAAAAAAAAAACAAGAUCUUAAUGUGUCCUAGGCAUUGAAAAUUUACUUUUGAAGGUUCUAUUUUCUUGAGAAAGAUUAUAAGUAAAUGUACAAUGGCAUGCAAAGAGAACAUGUUCACUAAAAGAAAAUGUAUUUCUUCAAUUACCUCUGGUUUCUCUAGGAAAUGUUAUUUCUUACAUUUUAUUCAUGAAUAAAAAUAGCUCUCUGAUUUGUACUAAUAAAUGUGAAAAAAAACAAAGAAAGGUAAAGUUCCCCUUUCAGACCUAGCAAUCAAUGGGGCAGAUGAUGUAAAUAUCUUCUGUUUUUAUGGCACACGAUUAACAAGAGUGCCAUGCGGCCAGCGCAAUGACCAGCCGCUUUUACUUUUCUCCUAUUAGCAGCUAUCCAUUAAAGUAUAGUGGGAUUAGGGGCACCUUAUAAACCCCAAACUUUAAAAAUCCCAGUCUUCGAACCCAAGACUCCUCGGUUCAGAAGCCAAGUGCUUUACCACUUAGCUACCAUGCCCCCAGUAAUAAAUGUUUCAAAAGCUCUUAUGUUUUAUACCCAAGAAUGUUUGUUUCAAAAAAAAAAUUACGUAAGGAAAUUCUGUACAAGUUUACUAGAUGUGCUCAAUUUUGUCUUUUACACAAAUAAAGUUGUACAUACAAUCAACAUUGUAUGCCUGGUGCAGAUCUCCAUUAACCAUUGCAGUAGUCAUAACAUACCAGUUUGACUUGAUUUCAAAUAUAUUGUCACUCUGGGUAGACCAGCCAAAUGAGAGACCUGAACAUUAUUACAAGAUGAAAGAAAUCAACUUUCCAAACUACUAUCACAUUUAUUGUGUCAAUAAAAGUACACACUUGGCAGAAAAAAAAAAAGAUGACAUUGAACUACAACUAUUAUAUAUGGAUAGGUGUUAUUCAUGUAUAACAAACAAUUUAUUAUUCAUAGUACCGAGAGGAUGUAUAAUGGUCACAAUAUAAUGUUAAAACAACUUUCAAUGUUUGCUCUAUGAAUGGACUACACCAGGAUGAGUUGAACCAAGAACAUUGAAAACAAUGGAGUGGUGUAAUGAUUCAGCAGACGUAAGAAAACAAGGUAGAUCACUCAUGAAUUAUAUCUGGAUAACAUUACAACAGUGUUUCAAACUAUCACAGAUGGCUAAAGUAUUCUGACUUUAGACACAAGAUUACCUAAAUUGAUUGCAAAACAAUUUUUUUUUACUUUUAAAGGUAUCAUCAGGUGCGAACCCCUAUCUAUUUUUCCAAGCUCUCUAGCUGUGCACUAAAUUUAAGUUUUACAAAAAGUAAUAUAAAAAUGAAUAUAAAACGCUAAGAUUUUUUAAUCAAUUAUUUUUAAAUACACGUGGGUGGAUAAUUAGUCCUUUUUUUUUCUAUUUACAAACAUUCCUUCUAUAAAAUUAUUAACAAGACAUUCCACUAUUGCCUCCAUGGAAAGUCUGUCCAGUUAAAGUCUUAACAUUUGGAUGAGUAAUGAUACCCCUUUCCACAAUUCCUUUUAGGUGAUUCAACUAAACCUAUAGAAAUGAAAAGAAUAUGUACUCUCUAAUUUAAGACACAGAACUGGUUUUUAGAAACUUACCCACAAGGCCAAGCUUAAAAAUGUUGGUGGAUCCUAGGAAACAUUAUUUGGACGUUUAGUUUAGAAAAAAAUCAUCACAUUUUAAGACUUUAUGAAUUAAUAUAAUAUAAAGAAAACAAAUAUAAUUUUAUUAUUUCAAAAGUCUUGACCAUCACCUCCCCCC